UGCGUAGGCGGCCUGGUAAGUCUGGAGUGAAAGUCCUGCUUUUAAGGUGGGAAUUGCUUUGGAUACUGCUGGGCUUGAGUGCAGGAGAGGUAAGUGGAAUUCCCGGUGUAGCGGUGAAAUGCGUAGAGAUCGGGAGGAACACCAGUGGCGAAGGCGACUUACUGGACUGUAACUGACGCUGAGGCGCGAAAGUGUGGGGAGCAAACA
This 207-nucleotide ribosomal RNA is filed under the name uncultured bacterium. Its description in RNAcentral is "partial 16S ribosomal RNA". It matches the Rfam family "Bacterial small subunit ribosomal RNA", at positions 568 to 774 of the family's 1533-position model. The record is from RNAcentral.